This 461-nucleotide ribosomal RNA is filed under the name uncultured bacterium. RNAcentral describes it as "partial 16S ribosomal RNA". It matches the Rfam family "Bacterial small subunit ribosomal RNA", at positions 339 to 795 of the family's 1533-position model. The record is from RNAcentral.
CUACGGGGGGCUGCAGUCGAGAAUCUUCCGCAAUGGACGAAAGUCUGACGGAGCGACGCCGCGUGCGGGAUGAAGGCCUUCGGGUUGUAAACCGCUGUCAGUGGGGAGGAAAUGCAUCAGGGUUCUCCCUGGUGUUUGACCGAUCCGCAGAGGAAGCGCAGGCUAAGUUCGUGCCAGCAGCCGCGGUAACACGAACUGCGCGAACGUUAUUCGGAAUCACUGGGCUUAAAGAGCUCGUAGGCGGCCUUUCAAGUCGGGUGUGAAAUCCCUCGGCUCAACCGAGGAAUUGCGCCUGAUACUGUUGGGCUUGAGGGGGAUAGGGGUGAGCGGAACUGAUGGUGGAGCGGUGAAAUGCGUUGAUAUCAUCAGGAACACCGGUGGCGAAGGCGGCUCACUGGAUCUCUUCUGACGCUGAGGAACGAAAGCUAGGGGAGCGAACGGGAUUAGAUACCCCAGUAGUC